UACAGAGGGGGCAAGCGUUGUUCGGAAUUACUGGGCGUAAAGGGCGCGUAGGCGGCCUGCUAAGUCGAACGUGAAAUCCCUGGGCUCAACCCAGGAACUGCGUCCGAUACUGGUUGGCUUGAAUCCGGGAGAGGGAUGUGGAAUUCCGGGUGUAGCGGUGGAAUGCGUAGAGAUCCGGAAGAACACCGGUGGCGAAGGCGGCCUGCUGGGCAGUUUGGCUGACACUGAGGCGCGACAGCGUGGGGAGCAAACAGG
RNAcentral lists this ribosomal RNA (255 nucleotides) under uncultured prokaryote. RNAcentral's name for it is "partial 16S ribosomal RNA". It matches the Rfam family "Bacterial small subunit ribosomal RNA", at positions 524 to 776 of the family's 1533-position model. The record is from RNAcentral.